RNAcentral lists this ribosomal RNA (253 nucleotides) under uncultured bacterium. RNAcentral's name for it is "partial 16S ribosomal RNA". It matches the Rfam family "Bacterial small subunit ribosomal RNA", at positions 524 to 776 of the family's 1533-position model. The record is from RNAcentral.
UACAGAGGGGGCAAGCGUUGUUCGGAAUUACUGGGCGUAAAGGGCGCGUAGGCGGCCUUCUAAGUCGAACGUGAAAUCCCCGGGCUCAACCCGGGAACUGCGUCCGAUACUGGAAGGCUUGAAUCCGGGAGAGGGAUGUGGAAUUCCAGGUGUAGCGGUGAAAUGCGUAGAUAUCUGGAGGAACACCGGUGGCGAAGGCGGCUUUCUGGACGAUAACUGACGCUGAGACGCGAAAGCGUGGGGAGCAAACAGG